Molecule: ribosomal RNA, 340 nt
Filed under: Anopsobius neozelandicus
Lineage: Eukaryota; Metazoa; Arthropoda; Chilopoda; Lithobiomorpha; Henicopidae
Description: partial 12S ribosomal RNA
Source: RNAcentral
UUUAGUAUUAAAGAUAAUUAAUUGAGUAGUAAUAGAGAGCUUGAAACUUAAAGAGUUUGGCGGUAUUUAAGUCUUUUUAGAGGAACCUGUAACUUAAUCGAUAAUCCACGAGAUAUCUGACCUAAAAAUUAAAGUAUGUAUAUCGUUGUCUUUAGAAUAAUUUUGAAGAAUGUUUUCGGGAAAUUUUAGUUAAUAUGUCAAAUCAAGGUGCAGCUAUAUUUAGGGGUGAUUGGGUUACAAUAUAUAAAAUAAACAAAUUAUUAAGUGAAAUAUAAUAUGAAGGUGGAUUUAAUUGUAAAAUAUUUUUAAUAAGAAUUUUUGAAGCAGUACUGAAAUAUGC